This 274-nucleotide ribosomal RNA is filed under the name uncultured bacterium. RNAcentral describes it as "partial 16S ribosomal RNA". It matches the Rfam family "Bacterial small subunit ribosomal RNA", at positions 523 to 796 of the family's 1533-position model. The record is from RNAcentral.
AUACGAAGGGGGCUAGCGUUGCUCGGAAUUACUGGGCGUAAAGGGAGCGUAGGCGGACAUUUAAGUCAGGGGUGAAAUCCCGGGGCUCAACCUCGGAAUUGCCUUUGAUACUGGGUGUCUUGAGUAUGAGAGAGGUGUGUGGAACUCCGAGUGUAGAGGUGAAAUUCGUAGAUAUUCGGAAGAACACCAGUGGCGAAGGCGACACACUGGCUCAUUACUGACGCUGAGGCUCGAAAGCGUGGGGAGCAAACAGGAUUAGAAACCCCAGUAGUCC